CCUACGGGAGGCAGCAGUGAGGAAUAUUGGUCAAUGGGCGGAAGCCUGAACCAGCCAAGCCGCGUGAGGGAAGCAGGUUCAGCGUAUCGUAAACCUCUUUUGUCAGGGAACAAAGGCGGGGACUAGUCCCCGGAUGAGGGUACCUGAAGAAAAAGCAUCGGCUAACUCCGUGCCAGCAGCCGCGGUAAUACGGAGGAUGCGAGCGUUAUCCGGAUUUAUGGGGUUUAAAGGGUGCGCAGGCGGCCUGUUAAGUCAGCGGUAAAAGCCCGGGGCUCAACCCCGGCGAGCCGUUGAAACUGGCGGGCUGGAGUUGGAGAGAAGUACGCGGAAUGCGCGGUGUAGCGGUGAAAUGCUUAGAUAUCGCGCAGAACCCCGAUUGCGAAGGCAGCGUACCGGCUCCACACUGACGCUGAGGCACGAAAGCGUGGGUAUCGAACAGGAUUAGAUACCCUGGUAGUC
Molecule: ribosomal RNA, 459 nt
Filed under: uncultured bacterium
Lineage: Bacteria
Description: partial 16S ribosomal RNA
Rfam family: Bacterial small subunit ribosomal RNA
Source: RNAcentral